GGUAAACACCGGUUCUCGUUCGAUCUCCGAAGUUAAGAAGAGUCGCCCCUGGUCAUUACUAAGAUAAGGGACGGAUUGUGAAUAACGGGUACUGUAAG
Non-coding RNA from Acanthosepion pharaonis, 98 nucleotides. The record is from the annotation of a GenBank genome assembly. NCBI's taxonomy places the organism in Eukaryota, Metazoa, Mollusca, Cephalopoda, Sepiida, Sepiidae.